GGCAAACUUAUUGAAAGAUAGGGACGCAAAGCCAUGGGUCUAACGGAUGAUUUCCUAUGAUUGCCAGGUUGCUG
RNAcentral lists this non-coding RNA (74 nucleotides) under uncultured Anaerosporomusa sp. Its description in RNAcentral is "Cyclic di-GMP-I riboswitch". It matches the Rfam family "c-di-GMP-I riboswitch aptamer", at positions 11 to 85 of the family's 87-position model. Rfam says of the family: GEMM was predicted in a large-scale screen for bacterial structured RNA regulatory elements. Genes associated with GEMM are involved in a diverse array of functions, including chemotaxis regulation, signal transduction, secretion and chitin. Lineage: Bacteria; Bacillati; Bacillota; Negativicutes; Acetonemataceae. The record is from RNAcentral.